GACGAACGCUGGCGGCGCGCUUAACACAUGCAAGUCGAACGGAAAGGCCUGCUUUCCCUUGUGGAUUGCGGGUACUCGAGUGGCGAACGGGUGAGUAACACGUGAGUGAUCUGCCCCCAACUUGGGUAUAAGCCUGGGAAACUGGGUCUAAUUCCCGAUAGGACUGCAGGGUGGUGCCUGUGGUGGAAAACGAUGUUCUAGUGGUUGGGGAUGAGCUCGCGGCCUAUCAGCUUGUUGGUGGGGUAAUGGCCUACCAAGGCGGCGACGGGUAGCCGGCCUGGGAGGGCUGAAGGGCAGAGUUGGACUGAGGACCGGGCCCGAGCACGAAGGGAGGAAGCAGUGGGGAGUAUUGGAAAAGGGGCGGAAGCCUGAUGCAGCGACGCGGCGUGGGGGAUGACGGCCUUCGGGUUGUAAACUCCUUUCGACAGCGAGGAAGCCACCUGGUUGGAAGGGUGGUGACGGUAGUGUUAGAAGAAGCACCGGCUAACUACGUG
RNAcentral lists this ribosomal RNA (494 nucleotides) under uncultured bacterium. RNAcentral describes it as "partial 16S ribosomal RNA". It matches the Rfam family "Bacterial small subunit ribosomal RNA", at positions 28 to 507 of the family's 1533-position model. The record is from RNAcentral.